GCCGAACUCAGAAGUGAAACGCCGUAGCGCCGAUGGUAGUGUGGGGUCUCCCCAUGCGAGAGUAGGGAACUGCCAGGCAU
RNAcentral lists this ribosomal RNA (80 nucleotides) under Escherichia coli Nissle 1917. The record is from RNAcentral. RNAcentral also lists the same sequence under 2 other names. Lineage: Bacteria; Pseudomonadati; Pseudomonadota; Gammaproteobacteria; Enterobacterales; Enterobacteriaceae.